RNAcentral lists this ribosomal RNA (460 nucleotides) under uncultured bacterium. Its description in RNAcentral is "partial 16S ribosomal RNA". It matches the Rfam family "Bacterial small subunit ribosomal RNA", at positions 338 to 795 of the family's 1533-position model. The record is from RNAcentral.
CCUACGGGAGGCAGCAGUGAGGAAUAUUGGUCAAUGGACGAGAGUCUGAACCAGCCAAGUAGCGUGAAGGAUGACUGCCCUAUGGGUUGUAAACAUCUUUUAUAAAGGAAUAAAACGAGGCACGUGUGCCUUUUUGCAUGUACUUUAUGAAUAAGGAUCGGCUAACUACGUGCCAGCAGCCGGGGUAAUACGGAGGAUCCGAGCGUUAUCCGGAUUUAUUGGGUUUAAAGGGAGCGUAGAUGGGUUGUUAAGUCAGUUGUGAAAGGUCUCGGCUCAACCGUAAAAUUGCAAUUGAUACUGGCAGUCUUGAGUAUAGUAGAGGUGGGUAGAAGUCGAGGUGUAGCGGUGAAAUGCUUAGAGAUCUCGAAGAACCCCGAUUGCGAAGGCAGCUUACUAGACUGUGACUGACAUUGAUGCUCGAAAGUGUGGGUAUCAAACAGGAUUAGAUACCCUAGUAGUC